Molecule: ribosomal RNA, 1531 nt
Filed under: Staphylococcus aureus
Lineage: Bacteria; Bacillati; Bacillota; Bacilli; Caryophanales; Staphylococcaceae
Description: partial 23S ribosomal RNA
Rfam family: Bacterial large subunit ribosomal RNA
Source: RNAcentral
GGUGAAAAGCACCCCGGAAGGGGAGUGAAAUAGAACCUGAAACCGUGUGCUUACAAGUAGUCAGAGCCCGUUAAUGGGUGAUGGCGUGCCUUUUGUAGAAUGAACCGGCGAGUUACGAUUUGAUGCAAGGUUAAGCAGUAAAUGUGGAGCCGUAGCGAAAGCGAGUCUGAAUAGGGCGUUUAGUAUUUGGUCGUAGACCCGAAACCAGGUGAUCUACCCUUGGUCAGGUUGAAGUUCAGGUAACACUGAAUGGAGGACCGAACCGACUUACGUUGAAAAGUGAGCGGAUGAACUGAGGGUAGCGGAGAAAUUCCAAUCGAACCUGGAGAUAGCUGGUUCUCUCCGAAAUAGCUUUAGGGCUAGCCUCAAGUGAUGAUUAUUGGAGGUAGAGCACUGUUUGGACGAGGGGCCCCUCUCGGGUUACCGAAUUCAGACAAACUCCGAAUGCCAAUUAAUUUAACUUGGGAGUCAGAACAUGGGUGAUAAGGUCCGUGUUCGAAAGGGAAACAGCCCAGACCACCAGCUAAGGUCCCAAAAUAUAUGUUAAGUGGAAAAGGAUGUGGCGUUGCCCAGACAACUAGGAUGUUGGCUUAGAAGCAGCCAUCAUUUAAAGAGUGCGUAAUAGCUCACUAGUCGAGUGACACUGCGCCGAAAAUGUACCGGGGCUAAACAUAUUACCGAAGCUGUGGAUUGUCCUUUGGACAAUGGUAGGAGAGCGUUCUAAGGGCGUUGAAGCAUGAUCGUAAGGACAUGUGGAGCGCUUAGAAGUGAGAAUGCCGGUGUGAGUAGCGAAAGACGGGUGAGAAUCCCGUCCACCGAUUGACUAAGGUUUCCAGAGGAAGGCUCGUCCGCUCUGGGUUAGUCGGGUCCUAAGCUGAGGCCGACAGGCGUAGGCGAUGGAUAACAGGUUGAUAUUCCUGUACCACCUAUAAUCGUUUUAAUCGAUGGGGGGACGCAGUAGGAUAGGCGAAGCGUGCGAUUGGAUUGCACGUCUAAGCAGUAAGGCUGAGUAUUAGGCAAAUCCGGUACUCAUUAAGGCUGAGCUGUGAUGGGGAGAAGACAUUGUGUCUUCGAGUCGUUGAUUUCACACUGCCGAGAAAAGCCUCUAGAUAGAAAAUAGGUGCCCGUACCGCAAACCGACACAGGUAGUCAAGAUGAGAAUUCUAAGGUGAGCGAGCGAACUCUCGUUAAGGAACUCGGCAAAAUGACCCCGUAACUUCGGGAGAAGGGGUGCUCUUUAGGGUUAACGCCCAGAAGAGCCGCAGUGAAUAGGCCCAAGCGACUGUUUAUCAAAAACACAGGUCUCUGCUAAACCGUAAGGUGAUGUAUAGGGGCUGACGCCUGCCCGGUGCUGGAAGGUUAAGAGGAGUGGUUAGCUUCUGCGAAGCUACGAAUCGAAGCCCCAGUAAACGGCGGCCGUAACUAUAACGGUCCUAAGGUAGCGAAAUUCCUUGUCGGGUAAGUUCCGACCCGCACGAAAGGCGUAACGAUUUGGGCACUGUCUCAACGAGAGACUCGGUGAAAUCAUAGU